This 441-nucleotide ribosomal RNA is filed under the name bacterium AD2004. RNAcentral's name for it is "bacterial SSU rRNA". It matches the Rfam family "Bacterial small subunit ribosomal RNA", at positions 28 to 458 of the family's 1533-position model. RNAcentral also lists the same sequence under 1 other name. The record is from RNAcentral.
GAUGAACGCUGGCGGCGUGCUUAACACAUGCAAGUCGAACGGAGCUUAGAAGGAAGCUUGCUUUCAUUUAAGCUUAGUGGCGGACGGGUGAGUAACGCGUGAGCAACCUGCCCUCGAGUGGGGAAUAACAUCGAGAAAUCGGUGCUAAUACCGCAUAAUGUCGAGAGACCGCAUGAUCUUUCGACCAAAGGAUUUAUUCGCUUGAGGAUGGGCUCGCGUCCGAUUAGUUAGUUGGUGAGGUAACGGCCCACCAAGACUUCGAUCGGUAGCCGAACUGAGAGGUUGAUCGGCCACAUUGGGACUGAGACACGGCCCAGACUCCUACGGGAGGCAGCAGUGGGGAAUAUUGGGCAAUGGGCGAAAGCCUGACCCAGCAACGCCGCGUGAAGGAUGAAGGUCUUCGGAUUGUAAACUUCUUUGAUUGGGGAAGAAUAAAAUGAC